This 2259-nucleotide long non-coding RNA is filed under the name Fragaria vesca (wild strawberry). Its description in RNAcentral is "long non-coding RNA (FVES_LNC001062)". The record is from RNAcentral. Lineage: Eukaryota; Viridiplantae; Streptophyta; Magnoliopsida; Rosales; Rosaceae.
UGCCGCGCGUUGAUAUGCCGAUGGUGCUGAUCUGUUGCCUCGUCAAAAACCUACGUCAAGUACACAAAAAACCCUGUGGGAGAAAAACUGAACCUUGAUCGUAGGAGAAAAAGAGUACAACGCACCCUUCACAUUUGAUAGUGACAUGUAUGUAUGUGCUAGACUCCCCCUGAAGUUCGCACCUCCCCCUGAUCUUUACAUCAAUUAUAGGGCUCUUCCUGAUUCUUACUAAUCAUGGAAGUUUCAACAACUUAGCAUGUCAAUGUUUUUUAACAAGUCUUCAAAUGUGGUAUUGGGCAAUGAUUAACUAAAUCAUGCCGUAUUGUCCUCAAAUGAUCUUUUACACUUAGAUCUUGAGGAGAAGGUUGCUUGUGAACUCAAAACAUAAAUUCGUGCAGGAAAUCAGAUUUCCGCGCAGCAUGACCUUCAAUUACUAGAACAGUCGUAACUUUCUCUAGGAAAUACAUAUGAACGAACCGUAAACGGUUUUGGAAACUAGACUCAUUUAGCUUUCCAACCGUAUAUUACACACGUUCUUGUUCCUCAGGAGCUAUUCACAACAUUCCGUCGAAGUUGACUGUUUUGCUAAAAUCAGAUUCUCGGACAGAUUCGUCCUACUUUACGAAAACGGCUAUAACUCACUCAAUAUGAUAGGUAUGAUCAAAUGGUUGGUGUCUCUGGAAAGUAGACACAUAGACCUUUCCAAUGGUACUAAUUUUACCAUAUUCCAGUGAGUGAGGUUUCCUGUAAGUCCCGUGGCUUGACCUACGAAACUUGGCAGAUUCUGAUUUCGCUAUUGAUGUGUCUUUCUUAUGUAGGGAUAGAAUAAGCCUAAACCUUUCAUACCAUUAAGUAUUGAAAAAGGAGGUACUGCCAUUACAUUGGCGUUGCGUGGGCGCAUAGCUACACUUAGCUUUACAACUUUUCAUAGCGAAUGAGAUGUCAAGUCUUUCGUAUUGUGUUGAGUACAUUGAUGCGUCUAAUUGUACUUAGAUGGGAACUCCAUCUCUUAACACAUAUUUGUCAUCUUGCUUUAGACAAAACAACGGAUCUCUCUUUAGAGCAAAGACCUUGACUAAUCAUGGGAGUAUAUGUAGGCCUCACUAGUUAUAGAGCGUCUAAGCCGAUUGAUGGAAAAUCAUCAUCAAUACAGUCAUCGAGUGCCUUAUCGAGACCAUGUCUUCCCAAGAUCUUUUUCUUCGGAUGUUGAUACAUAUUGACAUCUCUUGAUCCAUCAAGAGUCCAUGUAAAUCCGGAAUGAACACGCAAAGGCAUAAUUCACCAUAGCCCUUCCAAAUCAAGUAGAGUCCAUGUGCGUUUCAAUACAUUUAGCAAACGCAUGCUCCUGUGGUUUGGAGCCACUUGAUUCGGAUGAAUGAAGUCCGUUUAAGAUCUUCAUGCAUAUCUCUGAUCCCGUAGAGAUGUUAUUAUGACCACAUUCAUAGGCUGCUUGUUCAGUUAUUCGGAAACUACCAAACUGACAAAGUAGCGGAGUUCAAUGACAUCCAUUACGAGAGCAUAUCUCAUCGUAGUCGAUCCCAGUACGUGUUAGUGAAAGACCUUGCGCCAUAAGGUGAGUCUAAGCUCUUACUCUCACUACCCUAUCUAACAAAGACACAGUUGAUAGGGUUUAGCUUGCGGUGUCGGCAUCACCUGCCCAAGGACCUAUCUCUUUGUUAAUGCUGGAUCGCAUCUUUCCAUUAGGCCAAUCAACUAAGUUGAUAUCCAUCAACGAAUGGUGGUUCGAUAGUAGACUCAUUAUCUCACGUCCUCAUGUACACUAGUGUAAUACUUGUAGAGAUCUCUAUAUGGAUUGGAUUUGACAUUGAGGCGUCCCCCAACGAUAAUCACAAUUCAGACUUCAUGAGACGGAUUUGAGUAUCACUGAUCAAUGGAUCAGGUUGUGCCAAUCUCGCUUUCUUCCUAGUGCGAGAAUAUAUCGAACCUAAGGGCCUCCCUCCUUUUAGGGAGCCACACGGCCUUGUGACACCAAUUUUGCCACUAUAUGGCGUCACCAUAUCACCAUCCAUGGUGAUGGCGUCAAGACCAACACUUUUUGGUCGUGCCAUGUCCUUUUGUAGGACAUCAAUCCUUGCAGACAUAUUUGCAGCAUGUGAUCUCGUCACUUUAACACUAUAAGCAUUUGGAAUCAAGAUGAGACUUAGUGGGGACAAACCACGAUAAUUCACGUCGUUCCACUUGUAACACUUGUGUUCUUAUCUCCCCCUAACGGCGGGAAUAUUGUCUCAUCAAAGUNNN